UGAGGAAUAUUGGUCAAUGGACGCAAGUCUGAACCAGCCAUGCCGCGUGAAGGAUGAAGGUCCUCUGGAUUGUAAACUUCUUUUAUCUGGGACGAAAACGGGAUUUUUAUCUCAAUUGACGGUACCAGAGGAAUAAGCACCGGCUAACUCCGUGCCAGCAGCCGCGGUAAUACGGAGGGUGCGAGCGUUAUCCGGAUUUACUGGUUUAAAGGGUGCGUAGGUGGGCUUAUAAGUCAGUGGUGAAAUCUCCGAGCUUAACUUGGAAACUGCCGGUGAUACUAUAGGUCUUGAAUUAUCUGGAGGUAAGCGGAAUAUGUCAUGUAGCGGUGAAAUGCUUAGAUAUGACAUAGAACACCAAUUGCGAAGGCAGCUUACUACAUAUAAAUUGACGCUGAGGCACGAAAGCGUGGGGAUCAAACA
Molecule: ribosomal RNA, 420 nt
Filed under: uncultured bacterium
Lineage: Bacteria
Description: bacterial SSU rRNA
Rfam family: Bacterial small subunit ribosomal RNA
Source: RNAcentral